UAAGGUCUGGGGGUUCGGGUUCCGGCCAUUUCAGCUACGCCUCGGGGUUUGUUUAAUCCUUUAUUUCUCGUAUUGUGAAGGGAUCGAUCUGCAGCGCCGUGGGACCUCCGUGGCUGGGUGUAAGCGGCAGGCUGUGCCUGGCGUGUCUUCAGGAGCAGCUCUGCGGGAGGCGCGCUGUGCGGUGUAACGGGCACCGGGCUUGGCGCAGCCUGGCGAUGACCGGCUGGAUCUGCGUGUAUGCCGCACGCCUGUCUCAGGGGCAUUGCUCGCUGGGCCUGGCAAAGCAAGAAGUGCAGCUCAUCCUCUAGGUACAGCAGCUUCAAUGUGUUACAGGUGAAGAAAAGUGAGGAGAUGCUGCCCCUUGAACAGCCUUACCCUCCCCAAAAAGGAAGAACACUUGAAGUUGAUCCUGAUUUCAACAAAAGUUUUCAUUCCAGCUACUUGCUCUUUUCAGUGCAGAUGCACAUUCAGCAGUAUAACUCUUUUCCAGACCCUGUCCUCCUCUCAUUAAUAAUUACAUGCAAGUAAUGAAUAAUCCAGUAAAGCCUGUGGAAUCAGAUUUCCACAAAGUUCAUGUGUGCAACAGAAGGACAAAGUAUGGGAUGUAGCAGUGAUGUACUGUGAUCAGCAUGAGCUACGGCUCAAGUAAUGAAAUGGGACUAUGAACUCUCUGUGCACGCAUACAGUUUACUAAUGCAGUGCUCAUUGUUGUGAGAAGAAAAUGGUUGGCAGAAAGUUUGUUAAUUCUUUCUAUCUUUUAAAAAAAGGAAACUACAAAACCAGAUAUGAAUAUUUAUUAGCCUUUGAACAGGUACUUGUUACCAGCCUCUCAAAAAAGCCUUUCAAGUCUUACAAGAAGACUUUUUUUUUUUUUAAAGCACACAAGCCUUUCUUGCUUAUGUCAUGUCUGCAGCAACUUUAAAAAUAUCUUUCAGAUUCAAAUCAUACGUAGAAUUCGAGCCUUGGAGCAAUACUACAAAUAGAGUCUACAUCCAUUGCCUUUUCUGCAAGAUAAAAACAUACUAAGAAAAUCGCUUUAAGAACAGUUUCUGUGUGGAAAUCCAGGAUAUUCUGAAAUGCUUAGCACAUUUGGGAGUAUGUAUCUUAUGUUAUUGUACAGUAUAUUUGCAGAGAUCUUAGAAACACUUUUAACUUACAAUCCAGAAAUCACUUGGUGCUUAUUUGCAUCAUAUUCGUAUUUUUUUUUCCAUAAGUCAUAGUGGUGCAUGCAGGUAGUUAGAAAGUUUACAAUUGCCGUAAGGUAACCAUAUGAUUACCACAUCCUUUGAGAGUCCAGCACAGAAUCUGUGGAAGGCGACAAAAAGCCAGCAAACUUAUUCAGUUAUCACAACACCAAAGAUUUUUCUUCCAUCGGAGUUGAAAUGCCAUAGCUUGUCCUUUUUCUGAACCCCUAGAAUGGUCUCACCAUAUUUUGUACGGGCACUUAAAACUUGAUAUAUGCACCUUUUGCACUUUUGAGUAGUGGCACUUGGUUGGCUGUUCUAAACUAUUACUUGGAGGUGCUUGGAAAUACCCAUCUCACUUGUCUGGGCUGGGGAGCAGGACUUCGGUUAGAGAUAGGGUGAGAAAUGGGUAAAAAUAACCUGCCCUCAACAAAAAUCUUUAUGAUGCGGAAUGUUUUUCUGGACUGUGUGACCAGGAAAUAAAUAAGAUAAUUUAGGAAGAGUAGGAUAGAAU
Long non-coding RNA from Anser brachyrhynchus (Pink-footed goose), 1698 nucleotides. NCBI's taxonomy places the organism in Eukaryota, Metazoa, Chordata, Aves, Anseriformes, Anatidae. The record is from Ensembl.